UAUAGUAAAGACAUGUUAUCUCUUUCUUGGGAGUGUUGCCACGUCAGAAAGUACUACAAGGAGAAUGUGACACCUGUCCCACUACCAAAACUCGGCGUUUCAGAUUUAGCGAUUGUGGGCCCGACACAUUUAUUAAAAGCGACAACAAACUUUGUUUCGAUGAGUUUUUGCAUGGUUAACGUUGGGUAAUUGUUCUAAUUUUAAUGGGUUUUUGUCACACAAAAUUGGGCCUGGUUUAGUUAAUGUUAGGUCACAACUUUUCGCCGUCUACGUUCUUCUUCGGUUCAUCUUCCUGGUGAUAAGAAAUCUGCAAAACGUUACAGAAUCUUGCUGAAUCCCACUCCUCACACAAUUCAUCAAUGAAUGCAUUCCCUCUUUACUCCCUUUCUCUGAAGCUUCAAGUAUAAAAAGGGAAAAUCUUCUUACGUGAAAAUCAUCAGUUUAAUCCUCUCAAUCAUAAGCUUUUACAAAAAUUCACGGUGGCAAUGUUUGUAUAUUUAGUGACUUCUAUUGUUAGCUUUUGCGUUUGACUAAGGAUUUUCGAUUUAUUAGAUCAAUUUAUGGAAUCAUUUUCAUCUUCUCUAUUGAAUUUUUUAAUUCAGUUUCUACAAAGCUUGAGAAGAAGCAGUGAUUUUGUUAUGGAAUAUUUGUUUGGAUAAUUUUAUAAUUUGGUUGAGGUGGUGUUCGACUGGAGCAGGAAUCUGAUUAUUUUCUAAUAUUAAGUACUUGGCAGGGAAAAGUGUUGCUGAAGUCGGGAUCUAUCUCUCAGGGUUCAAUAAGGUCAAUGAUAGUCGAUACUAAUACGAAAAUUUCUUUGAGAUAAGGAAACAAAUGUAUCUUGCAGCUCCAGAAAUGACAGAGCAAAAGCUGCUGGGAUAUACAAAAUAUCUGAAAGUUUUUAUACGUUUAAUAAAAAACUUUACAAAGAGAUCA
Molecule: long non-coding RNA, 933 nt
Organism: Brassica napus (rape)
Lineage: Eukaryota; Viridiplantae; Streptophyta; Magnoliopsida; Brassicales; Brassicaceae
Exons: 2
Source: RefSeq, a predicted model, not a curated record